Molecule: ribosomal RNA, 468 nt
Filed under: uncultured bacterium
Lineage: Bacteria
Description: partial 16S ribosomal RNA
Rfam family: Bacterial small subunit ribosomal RNA
Source: RNAcentral
GACGAACGCUGGCGGCGUGCCUAACACAUGCAAGUCGAACGGAAAGGCCCUGCUCUUGUGGGGCUCUCGAGAGGCGAACGGGUGAGUAAAACGCGAGUAACCUGUCCUUGACUGUGGGAUAAAACCAGGAAACUGGGGCUCUUAUCGGGUAGGAGCUCCUGAUCCAUGGGGGGGGAUGGAAAGUUUCGGCGGUGUGGGAUGGACUCGCGGCUUAUCCGCUGGAUGGUGGGGUAGUGGCGUACCAGGGCUUUGACGGGUAGCCGGCCUGGGAGGGUGACCGGCCACAUUGGGACUGAGAUACGGCCCAGACUCCUACGGGCGGCAGCAGGGGGAAAUAUUGCACAAUGGGCGGAAGCCUGAUGCAGCGGCGCCGCGUGCGUGAUGACGGCCUUCGGGUUGUAAACCGCUUUCGCCUGUGACAAGGCGUGAGUGACGGUAAUGGGUAAAUAAGCACCGGCUAACUACGUG